This is a long non-coding RNA of Monodelphis domestica (gray short-tailed opossum), 4438 nucleotides long. RefSeq lists it as uncharacterized. The record is from RefSeq and is a predicted model, not a curated record. Lineage: Eukaryota; Metazoa; Chordata; Mammalia; Didelphimorphia; Didelphidae.
AAAUAAUUAAACAGGAAGCCAGGGAAAGCUGAGCCCCAGGUGAGCUCCUCUCUGUCUCAGCUUCUCUCUGCUCCCUGCCCAGACCCAAAGACUUUGAGUUCUUUCUUCCCUCCCCUGUCUCAUUCAACUGAACAAAUCUUAAAGUGUUGACGUUCACCCUGCUGUCUAUGACUUCAUUCCUGCUCAUCUUUUCUCUCAUUGAUGAAGGGAACAGAGGCAUUAAGCCUGGAAAAGUGACAAGGUAGUAUUUACGGUGUAUCAAGAGAAAGAGGAAAGAAAAGAGAUGAUGACCAUGACUGAAGAAGUAGCAGCAUGACUGUGAAUGCAAGUGGGAUGCUCCAGCAGGCAGGUUGACCUGGGUAUCCAAGAUUGGAGCCAUGAUCAGCACUGCCUGAUAUUAGAUGAGUUUCAGAAGCCACCAUCACUCCUGUUUGCCUGCAGAAAGAAGUCACUGAAGAGAAGAGGUCAAACCGAGAGAGAAGGAAAGAGGCUGACUAUUGCCUUUUUAAUAUUAUCCGGUUCUAACUAUGUAGCCACAGCCAAUCAAAGGGACUCCUUGUAAUAAUGUGGCAAGUGAACUGUAACCAGUUACAGAACAUCUGCGCAUCCAAAGUCUCUCCAAGCUCUAUUUGGUUAGAACUCCAAGGAACAUAAUGAAGACUCACCUAGGAGAAGCUGAUCAGCCAAAACUCAUCAUCAUGCUGUUAAUUCAGCCUUGGAUACUCAGUGGUCCUUCCUGGCCACACAUUCCCCUUUCCAAUAUUUUGACUGUUCUCUGGUGGUAUCUUUUCCCAUUAGAGUGUAAACUUCUUGAAGGCAGGGUCUUUUUCUUAUUUGUAUCACAAUGCUUCACACAAUGCUUGGCACACAGUAGGUACUCAAUAAAUAUUUACUGAAUUGAAUUGAAAUUGUACCUAAUGCUCCAUAACACCUCUCCCCCUCCCAACCCCAGUUGCAAUUAUUGACCAAGGUUAUCUGAGUAUCAUAGGCAGGGCACUUAGAAUCCAUCUAGCCCAUAGAGGCCAUCUAACCCAAAUGCUUCAUUUUACAGAUGAAAGAAUUAAAGUCCAGAAAGGUGAAGUAACUUGCCAAGUGUCACAUAGGCAUCCAAGGUGCAGAAAUGUAAUUUGAAACUAGUUUUCAUGAAUCCCAAUUCAGUGUGGAAGAAGAGUCAAAUAGGAUGGAGACUGGCAUAAGACUGCAGCUACCGGUUACUUUAGAAGGAAGAAUUUCAGUAAAAAUGGUAGUCCCCUGUAUGAUAUUGCCUCUCCUGCAUUAGAAACAAUCUAAAAAGGCCAGCAAAAUUGUUCAGGUUAGCAGACAAAAAGUGCUACCAAUGUUGUUAUAGUGAAAAGAACUGGACCCACUUCUCAGCAAAUGGGCAGAGAAAUUUGCCUGCUGCUGGCUCAUCUGGAGCCUUGAGAAAGUCCAUGAUGAAGUAUUAUGGAGAGGCCCUGGAUCCCUCAGUGCUCAUGCACUGAGAAGUGAGUUUUCUUUGGUCCCAUUAUGUUAUCAUAACCCAAGUCAGAGGAGAAUGGUAAUAUUAAACUUUUUAUAUUAUUCUGAAAUCUGUCCAGCAUCAUCAUCAAUUUUCUGAAAUCUUGUUAGCAAUCACUUCUGGGUCACACAAUAUUUAGUGGCAAGAGGAAAUUAACAUUUCUUUUUUUAUUUUCUCUUUUUUUUAGGACUGGAACUUUUACUGAAACUCCACAAUCACCAAUAGCUAUGAUCUUUUCUAAAUCCACCCUUUUUGGCCCUUCUUCUGCACUACACUAAAAAACAAACAAACAAAAACUCUUACCUUCUGUUUUAGAAUCAAUAUUAAGUAUUGGUUCCAAGGCAGAAGAGGGGUAAUGGGUAGGCAAUUAGGAUUGAGUGAUUUGCCCAGGGUCACACAGAGGGGACAUGACUAAGGUCACAUUUGAACCCAGGAUCUCCCAUCUAUAGUCCUGGCUCUAUCCCCUGAUAUACUUAGCUGCUCUCCUUCUUCUGCAUUUGACACUACUGACUUAGACCUUCCUUCUUGAUACUCUCUCAGCCUUUUAACUUCUGUGACUGUAUCCUAUAUUGGUUCUUCUUGUCUGAAGGAACUCAUUUUUCAUGUUCUUUCUCUGAUUCAUUUUCAACUCAUCAUCUCUUGGUGGAUAACUUGCAUGUCUAUAAUUCUGCCUUCAGCAUCAUUCUCCAUCUCCACAUUUCCAGCUGCCCACUGAAUAUCUUCAUCUAGAUAUUUUGCUAGCACUUCAAAAUCAGCCUUUCCCAGCCUGAAAUCAUCACCCCCCCCCCCAAAGCUUCUACUCUUAACUUCUCCCAUGUCUGUUGAUGGAACCAACAUUCUCCCAUUAACCAGCACUUAAAUAUUGGACUGAUCUUCCUUUUCCCUCUCACCACAGACAAAAAGCUUGCAAGUCUUAAUUACCACAGUAGCAUUUAUUAUAUUUGUCAAUAAUCUUCCUAAUAUUAGGCCUGGCCAUCUAAUGAUCGUGCUAAAAAAUUUCAACAGUUCUCUAUUGCUUAAAUGAUAACUUGUAAACUCCUUAGUUAUUCUGAUAUUCAAAACCCACCUUUCUCUGGUACUAAACUACCUUCCCAGCCUUAUUUCACAUUAUUCCCCUUUAGUCUAGCCAGAUUGGACUACUAGCCAUUUCCAAAUCCUGCCCUGUCUUCUGUGACAUCUCUACAUUUGCCUACUCUACUUCCCCCAUUCCUAAAUGCUUUCACCAUCAUUCUUUCCCCCCCCCCAAAGGUCAACUUGUGAGCUACCUUGUCUGGUCUCCCUACCUAAAAGCGACCACACCUCCCCAAAGCUGUGGUAAACUUUGCCUUAGGACAUUCUAACUUUACAUAUUAGAGUUAUUUGUAGGAAAGCAGUUCUGCUAUAAGCCAUCAUAGGCAUUCUUCCAAAAACACUGCACUAUGUAGAAUCUCCUAAUGAAAACUAUAGAGUUUAUAUGGAAAAUGGGUUUUAGAGUACAACACUCAAAACCUUUGUCAAUGACAUGUAAAAAGGAUAGGAACUUAAUAAAAAUGAUAGCAUAGUUUAUACAUGUAAAAUGAAUAAGAAAUACAUAAAUACAAUAAAUAGUGUUUAUGUUUAUGACCUCAGGCCACUGAGUGGUAUGCAUGGAGGCUUCAUAAGCAAGGUGGGCAGGUAAGACCAACUGGUGCUGUGGGGAUAAGGUUGGGGAUGAAGGUUAGGGGUUAGGAUUCUAAGGACCAGCCCUCUUCAAUUCACAGUUCCUACUAUACCAAGAGAUAUACAAUAAGAUUGGCUCUUUACUUUUACAAAGACCUAAAGUUUGCUUGUGGAAGUGGCCAUCUGAAAGGUUGCAGCUUGUGAGUUAUUGUGAAGUAAUAGAGUUUUCUGUAUUCUAUCAUUGUUUCUCAGGGAAGAAAUGUUGCAGAAGGAAAAGCAAAAUUCAAGUUAUGCUUAAAAUGUUCCCUAAUAGCCAAUCAAGUUGGAAUAAAUUUAUAUUUUCAUUAUAGCAGCAUCAAUUGUACAUAUGUCUCCACUAGAGUGCAAGUUCCUUGAUGUCUGGGGCUAUGUAAUUUUUUCAUCUUUGUAGCCACAGCACCUUUUGAGGUAGACUUCACAUAACAGGUACUUAAUGGAUAUUUGUUGAAUUUUUCAACAAUGAAAUAAAUACUCAAAUGCUCCCAAGGAAGUAAUAUUUGUUGCCAUACAAAUGAAAUAGAUUCACAGAUUAAGAAGGACGGAAGGUACCUAAAAGAUCCAUGGUCCAACCAAUACCUGAAUAUUUUCUACACUAAUACUAUUUCUAUAGACAUCUAGCUUAAAAAUUUCCUUUGUAAAUAUUUAUAGUUGCACUUGUAUUGGCAAAAAAUUGGAAAAUGACGGAAUGCCUUUCAAUUGGGGAAUAGCUGAACAAAUUGUGGUAUCUGUUGGUGAUGGAAUACUAUUGCCCUAAAAGAAAUAAUGAACUGGAAGAUUUUCAUGUGAACUGGAAUGACCUCCAGGAAUUGAUGCAGAGUGAAGAGCAGAACCAGGUGAACAUUGUACAGAGAGAUGGAUAUACUAUGGCACAAUUGAACAUAAUGGACUUCUCUACUAGCAGCAAUGCAAUAAUCCAAAACAAUUCUGAAGGAUUUAUGAGAAAGAACACUAUCUAUAUCCAGAGAAAGAACUGUGGAAGUAGAAACACAGAAGAAAAACAACUGCUUGAUAACAUGGAUUGUUGGGGAUAUAAUUGGGGAUACAGACUAAACAAUCACUUUAUUGCAAAUAUUAAUAUUAUGAAAAUAGGUCUUGAUCAAUGACACAUGUAAAAACCCAGUGGAAUUGCUCAUUGGCUAUGGGAGGGGGUGGAAGGAGGGGAGAGAAAGAAAAUGAAUCAUGUAAUUAAGGAAAAAUAUUCUAAAUCAAUUAACUAAAUAAAAAAUUUUCAAAUCAAAACAAAUUUCCUUUGUAAAGUGUGGU